UCAUCACACACACACACACACACACACACACACACACACACACACACACACACACACACACACACACACACACACACACACACACACACACACACACACACACGCUUGAGCAACUCCUGAACUUCUAGGUUCCUCCCUGUCAAUAUUCCCUGCGCUUGCUUUUUUUCAACUUCUCAUUUUCAGAUGCCUCUCAGUCUGAUUAACCCGCAUGGACGUCACUCUUUCCUAAUCAAGCAUGUGGAAGUUUAUGGUGCAACCCGCGAGCUGCAGAGUUGUGACAUUCCAGCUGCUGGCAGGUUUAACUGUGUGUGUGAUGCCUUUGUUCAUGAAGCUAACCUGCUUGAAACAUCAAGACAAAACAACAGAACGAUGCAGAAGCAGCACUGAUUUGCUCUGAACCACAAACUUGUGGUGUGUGUCACAGUUUGACCCGACGCAGACGCUGAGCUGUUGCCCGUUUCAUCUCAAUGAUGAGUUAAUCCGCGUAUCCUGAGACGUUGCCGUCUGCCUGACCCUGUUAUGCAACAUUACUCCACACUCCUCAUGUUCAGAGCAAGGAUCUGCAAAGCCGACGGACCCGUUUGUUGCCCUCACUACUGUAUGUGGAACAGGAAGCCACUCUCCACUACUUCCUGUCUGAUAACGCAGAUGCCAGAAAGAGCAGGAGGAAACCGCACCAGGAGAAAUGGGGAGGUUGGAAAAUCGAGUUGGGCACUGGGUGAUAAAACUAAAACCUCAGUGAAGCUGCCACAGGGAUGCAUUAUUCAGUCAGUCUGGAUGACGUGGAGACUAACUUUGAGCUGCUGUGCAAAUCAGAUAAUACAAAGAGAGUACGCGUGUCUGCGGAGAUAACGGGGAGGAAGGGGUGAGGGACAGCUUGGGAGCAAAGCAGUGAAAGAGGCCCAGACAGCAGGAUAAACACAGAGAGAUAGCGCGGCAGCAACUGUGUCACAAGAUCCAAGGACUUGUUUUGUCUUUGUGGGAAUCAGAGGAAGGAGGAGGAGCUGCACGUGUGAGCGGCAGGCGGUGAUGGAGGCUGCUGCUGCUGCUGCUGCUGCUGCUGCUGCUGCACCAUGCGAGGUGGAGGGACUCCAGGGAAGAUGAACCUCCCCAAAAAGCCCUUUCAUGUGCGAUGGGCGCUGCACCUCUGCCUCUGCCUCCUCCUUAUCUCCACACACAGGCCUGGUAUCAGUUUCCCUGCGCUGGCUGACUCCGUAACCGACACCCGCCGUCUGCCUGCUGCCCUUCCCUGUCGGACCAUCACCAUCACAGUGGGAAAGUUAUUCAUCAACAACAGCAACUAUUUAAACUCGAUAAAAGUCAUGUGACAUCUGUGAGAUGAUGCAUGUUGGCAUGAGGCACAGUUUUAUGGUCUCGCAGUCACUUCAGACACAACAGGCUUAUUUACUUUGACCUUAUCUUGAAGCUGGAAGGUGCCGUCGGAGCCUCCAGAAGCAGCCUCAGUCUCCAGCAGAGCAGACGUCUCCCUCUGAGGUCCCCACUGGUAACGGCACUGUAUCAGAUUCCCAUUCAAGCGGCACAGACACUAUGAUAGACCACCGUGUCAGUGUGGGAGGCCUCGGGCAGUGUUGAUGCUGCUCUGAAGCAGUCCGUUCAGCGACUGGAUGGAUUUCUGUGAAAUCUGCUACCUGGAAAUGAAUCACACGUUUUUCAAAAGGUCGGGUUUGUUCUCCAACGCAGCGUUCCACCGCACACGGAUUCACCCACCGGACUCUUCUCCCCUCCUCUGUCUGGUGUCAUGAUACUUCAUUUGAUGCUUCAUCUUUUAGCACUGAACUGCAAGUCACAGACCAAACUGGCUGAAUAAAUGACUACACAGACGGUU
Long non-coding RNA from Betta splendens (Siamese fighting fish), 1846 nucleotides. RefSeq lists it as uncharacterized. The transcript is spliced from 2 exons. The record is from RefSeq and is a predicted model, not a curated record. Lineage: Eukaryota; Metazoa; Chordata; Actinopteri; Anabantiformes; Osphronemidae.